This 465-nucleotide ribosomal RNA is filed under the name uncultured bacterium. Its description in RNAcentral is "partial 16S ribosomal RNA". It matches the Rfam family "Bacterial small subunit ribosomal RNA", at positions 338 to 795 of the family's 1533-position model. The record is from RNAcentral.
CCUACGGGUGGCAGCAGUGGGGAAUAUUGCGCAAUGGGCGAAAGCCUGACGCAGCGACGCCGCGUGAGGGAUGAAGGUCUUCUGAUCGUUAACCUCUGUCAGCAGGGAAGUACGGUCACUGUGCUAAUCAGCAUUGAAUUGACGGUGCCUGCACAGGAAACACCGUCUAACUCCGUGCCAGCAGCCGCGGUAAUACGGAGGGGGCGAGCGUUAAUCGGAAUUACUUGGCGUAAAGCGCUCGUAGGCGGUAUGGCAAGUCACGGGUGAAAUCCCCGGGCUCAACGUGGGAACUGCGUUUGAAACUGGCAAACUGGAGUGUGUGAGAGGAUAGUGGAAUUCCAGGUGUAGGAGUGAAAUCCGUAGAUAUCUGGAGGAACAUCAGUGGCGAAGGCGACUAUCUGGCACAUAACUGACGCUGAGGAGCGAAAGCGUGGGUAGCAAACAGGAUUAGAUACCCCGGUAGUC